UACGAAGGGUGCAAACGUUGCUCGGAAUCAUUGGGCGUAAAGCGCACGUAGGCGGCCUUGCAAGUCGGAUGUGAAAUCCCACGGCUCAACCGUGGACGUGCAUCCGAAACUGCUCGGCUCGAGUAUGGAAGAGGGUUGCGGAAUUCCCGGUGUAGAGGUGAAAUUCGUAGAUAUCGGGAGGAACACCAGUGGCGAAGGCGGCAACCUGGGCCAAUAUUGACGCUGAGGUGCGAAAGCUAGGGUAGCAAACGGG
RNAcentral lists this ribosomal RNA (253 nucleotides) under uncultured bacterium. RNAcentral's name for it is "partial 16S ribosomal RNA". It matches the Rfam family "Bacterial small subunit ribosomal RNA", at positions 524 to 776 of the family's 1533-position model. The record is from RNAcentral.